GGCCGAGUGGUGUAGUUGGUUAUCACGUUUCGUUAACACUGUUAGCGCCGAAAAGGUCCUGAGUUCGAGUCUCAGCUUGGUCA
Molecule: non-coding RNA, 83 nt
Organism: Onygenales sp. PD_40
Lineage: Eukaryota; Fungi; Ascomycota; Eurotiomycetes; Onygenales
Source: the annotation of a GenBank genome assembly